AGAGAGAUGUCUGAGUGGUUGAUAGCUCCGAUCUUGAAAACUGAUAUAGUUUGAAACAAAGAAGUAUCGAGGGUUCGAAUCUCUCUCUCUCAU
Non-coding RNA from Gossypium raimondii (Peruvian cotton), 93 nucleotides. NCBI's taxonomy places the organism in Eukaryota, Viridiplantae, Streptophyta, Magnoliopsida, Malvales, Malvaceae. The record is from Rfam.